Oncorhynchus keta (chum salmon) is the source of this 2485-nucleotide RNA transcript. RefSeq lists it as uncharacterized. The transcript is spliced from 5 exons. The record is from RefSeq and is a predicted model, not a curated record. NCBI's taxonomy places the organism in Eukaryota, Metazoa, Chordata, Actinopteri, Salmoniformes, Salmonidae.
AUAAACACUGUACCCAAAUCCACGUUUUACAAUGCUCCUGGGAAAUGGGUAGGCCUCCACCUAUAGUCCUUCACAGUUUUACAGGUGUGAUAUAUUUAUUUAUUUACAUAGAUCACAUACAUAAAUAAAUAUGUUAGCUGUAGGUAGCGUUGAGAUCAAAUUCCCAUAUUCUAUUGCUACUAAACAUAUAUCAUGUUUUCCUCAUUUGCUCUGUAGGAGGUUCGUCAUAUGAAGGACAUUCAAGUGGAUGUGACCCCGAACCUGCAAUAGGGGCUCAGUGAGGUGACAGACAUCCUGUAAUGGAUCUCCAGCUAGUGUCUGAGGACCUGGAGAAGGCUGUGUCUACAGCUGUGGGGCAGGACAAGUAUGGUAUAGCAGGUAACCAACCCCACCCGGGUCUUACCCCCUAGGACUUACCCUUUGCUACCGGCUACCACCGGUCGUAAUACAAUGGGACUACUGAAUAAGCUCAGGCUUUCUAGAUUCGAAUUGACACAACCCGUACAAUUGGUGACACCGAACGUGAUCUGGUGAAGGACUUCGCUGGACAUUGGUGUGCCAGCCGAUUGGCCAGUACUGUCGUCGGACGCUGUCGUCGGACGGUGUGUCUCACAAAUCCUGACCGGUCAACUAAAAAAGGUGCUGCCAAAACCACAGAGGUCCCAGACGAACUUGAGCCAGACACACUCCUCUUCCACCCCUGGACCGAGCCUGCCACCCACCACCACUGUGUCAAAUCCCAUUCAGGUGCAGGUCUAAACCAAACUAGUGGUCUGGCUGAUGUGUGGUGGAUAUGUGGACCCAAAAGAGUACUGAGACCCAUUCUUAGAGGAGACUGGCAAGGUACGUGUGCUCUGACCAGUUUGAUAAUUCCACUGACCAUUGUUGAUGUUACUGCUGAACAGCUGUUGGGUUCUGUAUCCAGGGGGCCUGAAACAUUCCAUCCCAUGGGAGACAUAGACGUAGUGCUCCAUGGACGGAGGAUGUAGUUGACAGCCUCCAGUAUUUAAGCUGCAGUAGUUUAUGUGUCUGGGGGCUAGGGUCAGUUUGUUAUAUCUGGAGUACUUCUCCUGUCCUAUUCGGUGUCCUGUGUGAAUCUAAGUGUGCGUUCUCUAAUUCUCUCCUCUCUUUCUUUCUCUCUCUCGGAGGACCUGAGCCCUAGGACCAUGCCCCAGGACUACCUGACAUGAUGACUCCUUGCUGUCCCCAGUCCACCUGGCCGUGCUGCUGCUCCAGUUUCAACUGUUCUGCCUUAUUAUUAUUGACCAUGCUGGUCAUUUAUGAACAUUUGAACAUUUUGACCAUGUUCUGUUAUAAUCUCCACCCGGCACAGCCAGAAGAGGACUGGCCACCCCACAUAGCCUGGUUCCUCUCCAGGUUUCUUCCUAGGUUUUGGGCUUUCUAGGGAGUUUUUCCUAGCCACCGUGCUUCUACACCUGCAUUGCUUGCUGUUUGGGGUUUUAGGCUGGGUUUCUGUACAGCACUUUGAGAUAUCAGCUGAUGUACGAAGGGCUAUAUAAAUACAUUUGAUUUGAUUUGAUUUUACAUACACAAUAAUCUGUUGGGUGUGCCGGUGGGGGUUCCUCAUGAGUUUCAGGCCUUGGGUAGGAAUGAUGGACUCUGGCACUUACUACCUAUUAUAGGUCCAGCCAUAGUGGAUGCAAGACAGACUGCAUGGAUAAAUUAUAUCUACUAUAAUCAACAGCGUUUUGUGAAUUACUCCCGUGAUGCACUCACUGGUAUGUCUGAACAGCUGGAGGCCACAUCUAGGGUUGCCAGACAGAAUAGACUUGCUUUGGAUAUGCUUCUUGCCAGUCAGAGGGGUGUCUGUAAGAUGUUUGGUGAACAAUGUUGCACGUUUAUUCCUAAUAACACCAGUCCAGAUGGUAGUAUAUCUAAGGCCCUUAGUGGGCUUGAUGCACUAUCUGCUGAGAUGAGGACCAUGGCGGGGGUGGAGGAGUCUGGACUGUUCUCUUGGUUGGGAGCCUGGUUUGGUAAGUACACUGAUAUGGUGGUUACUGGAUUUCUGACCCUAAUUCUUGUAUUUUUAUUAUUGAUGUGUUGUGCUGCUUGCAUCAUACCGUGUUUUAAGAAGUCUGUUACAGAUGUGAAGGCUUCAGGCAUGAUGCCUUUGCUUGAUGCUCCAGUUGGAGAUGCUGAUACUGAAUCAAGCUUUCAGGGGAGGAUGAGACUGACUGAGGAUGACCCAUGGUAUGCUGUGGGUGAGGUAGUAGAAUAAAUAUUACGUUUUUGUUUUAUGAUAAGUUCUUUCCAGUAUGUUUGUUCUCCCUGUUGUGAAGGUUUGGAGUCCCUGGGUGGCAUGAAGCCCAACUGGUACAGGAUAGGAGUAGCUGAGAGGACCAGAUGGUUUAUAAUGCUUUGCUCUGCUUUGCUUUACUGUUUUCCAUGACCAAAGUUGUAUCCUAUAUCUUACAUGUCAAUAAACAAAGUGUUAUCCUGUUUUUGACCCUUAUGGGUGUCAAAA